This is a long non-coding RNA of Thalassophryne amazonica, 720 nucleotides long. RefSeq lists it as uncharacterized. The transcript has 3 exons. The record is from RefSeq and is a predicted model, not a curated record. Lineage: Eukaryota; Metazoa; Chordata; Actinopteri; Batrachoidiformes; Batrachoididae.
UGUGUAUAUAUAUAUAUAUAGAAGGACAAUUGAGAAUUUUGGCUUUGCCUUAUUUGUAGAUAUGAGUGUGCAGCACCAGCAAUCUGAAUGAGCAGAAUGUAGAUACAGUAUAUUUACGACACUUUAUAAGUGCAAAUGAUUAGGUGAGAGGUACAAGUGGUUUUGAUUGAUUAAGGAUAUGUGGAUGCAUUUUUUGUUUUUUGCUCUCUCAUACUGUGUGUCCUCUCUGGUUUAUGUUGAUUGAUGAAGAAAGAAACUUAUCUGAGGUAGGCAGAUAUUUUUCAUGUAUAUCAGGAUUAAUUUGUGUGCAAGUGCAAACCAAAGUGAGAUUAGCAGAUCACUUCCAUGCCAUAUUCUGGUCAAGCAGGUAAGAGCCUCCAAACUGUGCAGCUGGUUGGUAACUGAAAGUCGUGUGAUCUACUUUACUAUUUACCAUUUACUAAACAUCACUUCAGUCCUCUUGUCACGCAGUUUACAGCACAUUGCAAUAGAGUGAUGAUGACUAAAUGUUUUAGGACAUGCACAGUAGUCAUCCAGACAUUUACAUUCAUUAUUAUUUAUAUUCUUUUAGAAUGAUGAUUGAAUAAUUUUUGUAGCAACAGAGAUUAUAUACACUCACGCAGCGAAACACUCUGGAAGGUAUUGAACACAGAAACUACAGGGUUACUGAAGACUUUUACUUACUUUGAAUACUGUUAUUUUUGAUUUUGUCACUAAAAA